AUGUGGUUUGUUCAUAAACAAGUAAUUUUAACUAAGGAUAACUUGAAGAAGCGCAAUUGGACAGGACCUACUAGGUGUAGUUUCUGUGAUCGGGAUGAGUCUAUUAAACACCUCUUUUUUGAUUGCCCGCUUGCAAAGGUUCUAUGGCAGACGGUCCACAUUGCUUUUAACAUCAAACCACCGAAUUCUGUUAGUACUUUGUUUGGGACAUGGCUUAAUGGGAUUGAGCCCAACUUAGGGAGACAUAUUCGGGUGGGGGUUUGUGCUUUGCUGUGGACCAUCUGGAACUGCAGAAACGAUUUGGUCUUUAACAGAACAUCAUAUAUACAUUUUUUGCAGGUUUUAUUCCGGACUACGGCUCUGAUUCGUUCAUGGUCGCUACUCACCCAGACGGAGGCCAGGGAGCAUUUGGUUACUGGGUCUGUCCGUUGGGAGAUGGUAGCUCGGGAUAUCUUCAACCGGUUUGGAUGGCGGUCAUGUAAUAGGAUAGGCAUUUAG
RNAcentral lists this ribosomal RNA (498 nucleotides) under Triticum aestivum (bread wheat). Its description in RNAcentral is "partial small subunit ribosomal RNA". Lineage: Eukaryota; Viridiplantae; Streptophyta; Magnoliopsida; Poales; Poaceae. The record is from RNAcentral.